AACGAACGCUGGCGGCAGGCCUAACACAUGCAAGUCGAGCGCACCCUUCGGGGUGAGCGGCGGACGGGUGAGUAACGCGUGGGAACGUGCCCUUUUCUACGGAAUAGCCUCGGGAAACUGAGAGUAAUACCGUAUACGCCCUUUGGGGGAAAGAUUUAUCGGAAAAGGAUCGGCCCGCGUUGGAUUAGGUAGUUGGUGGGGUAAUGGCCUACCAAGCCGACGAUCCAUAGCUGGUUUGAGAGGAUGAUCAGCCACACUGGGACUGAGACACGGCCCAGACUCCUACGGGAGGCAGCAGUGGGGAAUCUUAGACAAUGGGGGCAACCCUGAUCUAGCCAUGCCGCGUGAGUGAUGAAGGCCUUAGGGUUGUAAAGCUCUUUCAGCUGGGAAGAUAAUGACGGUACCAGCAGAAGAAGCCCCGGCUAACUCCGUG
Molecule: ribosomal RNA, 433 nt
Filed under: uncultured bacterium
Lineage: Bacteria
Description: partial 16S ribosomal RNA
Rfam family: Bacterial small subunit ribosomal RNA
Source: RNAcentral